This 253-nucleotide ribosomal RNA is filed under the name uncultured bacterium. Its description in RNAcentral is "partial 16S ribosomal RNA". It matches the Rfam family "Bacterial small subunit ribosomal RNA", at positions 524 to 776 of the family's 1533-position model. The record is from RNAcentral.
UACGGAGGGUGCGAGCGAUAUUCGGAAUUAUUGGGCGUAAAGGGCGCGUAGGCGGUUUAGUAAGUCAGAUGUGAAAGCCCUGGGCUUAACCCUGGAAGAGCAUUUGAUACUACUGGACUUGAGUAUGGGAGAGGGAAGCGGAAUUCCUGGUGUAGCGGUGAAAUGCGUAGAUAUCAGGAGGAACACCGGUGGCGAAGGCGGCUUCCUGGACCAAUACUGACGAUGAGGCGCGAAGGCGUGGGGAGCAAACAGG